This 70-nucleotide transfer RNA is filed under the name Petrobiona massiliana. Its description in RNAcentral is "tRNA-Lys". It matches the Rfam family "tRNA". From Rfam's summary of the family: Transfer RNA (tRNA) molecules are approximately 80 nucleotides in length. Lineage: Eukaryota; Metazoa; Porifera; Calcarea; Baerida; Petrobionidae. The record is from RNAcentral.
AAAAAAAAAAUUGAGGGAAACAUCAUGGCCUUUUAUGCCAUGCACCGAAGUUCAAUUCUUCGAAUUUUUA